This 253-nucleotide ribosomal RNA is filed under the name uncultured bacterium. RNAcentral's name for it is "partial 16S ribosomal RNA". It matches the Rfam family "Bacterial small subunit ribosomal RNA", at positions 524 to 776 of the family's 1533-position model. The record is from RNAcentral.
UACGUAGGGUGCGAGCGUUAAUCGGAAUUACUGGGCGUAAAGCGUGCGCAGGCGGUUUUGUAAGCCAGAUGUGAAAUCCCCGGGCUCAACCUGGGAAUGGCAUUUGGGACUGCAAGGCUGGAGUUUGGCAGAGGAGACUGGAAUUCCCGGUGUAGCAGUGAAAUGCGUAGAUAUCGGGAGGAAUACCGAUGGCGAAGGCAGGUCUCUGGGCCGAGACUGACGCUGAGGAGCGAAAGCGUGGGGAGCGAACAGG